Molecule: long non-coding RNA, 985 nt
Filed under: Paramuricea clavata
Lineage: Eukaryota; Metazoa; Cnidaria; Anthozoa; Malacalcyonacea; Plexauridae
Source: RNAcentral
GGGGUUUCAAUUGACUAGUGCAUGCAUAAACAUUGCAAAGGUCCAUUUUGUAAAUUAAUGGCACUAUGUAUUUAAUCUUAAUUUAUAGGGCCUGUGAGUUCAUAUCUGGAAUAAAAUAAUGGCAAAUCUACAGAAAUAUCACUGCUACUUAGGAGUGUCAAACAAAUUCAGGAGGACUGAAAUAACUGGAUGUUCUCAGGAUGAAAAAGAAAUUGUUGACUUUAAUUGAAUAAUCAUUAUCAUUAAUGUAAGGUUAAAAAUAUUGAACUUUCAAAAGGAUGCACACAGAAAAAUGAAAGUAGGGCCUGAAUUUCAGGUUAAGACUAAAGUGAUCCAGGAAUGGGGUUGGCCCUCUGCAGGCUAAAUCAAUUGAGGGAGAUCCCUUUAUUUCAAGUUAAAUGAUUAUUUGAAUAAGAUGCCAUUCAGGCAAUAAGGGCCUGGUUAGGUCCAUAUUUUAAUUCAAAUUAUUAAGUACUCGAUUUAUCCAUCAACAAACCCCAACAUUAAAAUUUCCAUCGAGUGAGAUGCAACAAAACCAUCUAUAGUUUAUUAAUUAUGUUAACCUAAUCCAUCAAUUGGCAAUGAGCCUACUUUAGUAUUUUAUAUACUCUCUCUAAUUUGCCCAUUAUAUUUAUAAACUGACAGUUAAUACCAUUACUCUUUCACAUACUAAUAAAAUCAUCUGGGCCCGGUUGUUCGAUCGAAGCCCGUGUAAGCCUUUGAACUACCGGCCCCAGAUGAUUUUAUUAGUCUGUGAAAGAUUAAUUAUUAACUGUCAGUUUAUAAAUAUAAUGGGCAAAUAUAUGAUUAUGUACAAAUUGCAUGCAUGGUUCAUAAAAUCUCUGUGAUAGACUUGCUCCAACAGAUUCAAAUUCCAUCCUGACAAUACCUAAAUAAUAAUUAUAGAGGUUGCAGUGUUGCACUACCUUUUGCUAAAAUACUGCCAUUGUUUACCAGUAUUUAAUAUGAACUCAAAAGUCAAAAC